This 544-nucleotide unclassified non-coding RNA is filed under the name Hevea brasiliensis (rubber tree). The record is from RNAcentral. Lineage: Eukaryota; Viridiplantae; Streptophyta; Magnoliopsida; Malpighiales; Euphorbiaceae.
CCAACCAAUACCAGAUUGAUACCCUUUCGAGCCAAUUGAAAAGCGAAACCCUUGCCAAUACCGUCAGUAGGUCCCGUUACGAGAGCCCAUGAUCCAUAGUUCUUCAGAUACUUGGCGGGUCUGAGGAAAUUGACGUAAACCCAUUUAAGGAAAGCGAAGAAGCAUUUCAGAACUGAUACAGAACCCAGAAUGAAAAGCACAAGAAGCCAAGAAGGCUGAUCCUUGAGCUUAUCGAAUAAAACAAAGCUCCAUUUUUGGAUAGUAAGCGUUUUCUUCGAUCUAAAACGAAAAGAGAGAGAUCUGAGAAAUAUAUUGGUUUCUUGAGCUUGGAAGGAAUGGGUGAGAUUCGACUGCGCAAAGAUGAGCUAACAAGGAAAACAGAGGAUAGAGUGAAACAAAUAAGAAGUACGGUUAGGCAGAAACAGUUGAGAGUGGGAGAUUUAUUAAGAUUUGAAAUGGGAAGAAGAAGGGCGGCGAAGUAGAUGAGCUGAAAACCACCAGAUUUAACUACAAAUGACGACAGCCACAACAGAACAUAAGUCUG